GGGAAUGUGGCUCAGUGGUAGAGUGCCUGCCUAGCAUGCAUGGAAACCUGGGUUCAAUUCCUCAGUACCA
RNAcentral lists this transfer RNA (70 nucleotides) under Dipodomys ordii (Ord's kangaroo rat). It matches the Rfam family "tRNA". Rfam says of the family: Transfer RNA (tRNA) molecules are approximately 80 nucleotides in length. Their secondary structure includes four short double-helical elements and three loops (D, anti-codon, and T loops). Lineage: Eukaryota; Metazoa; Chordata; Mammalia; Rodentia; Heteromyidae. The record is from Rfam by way of RNAcentral.